This 378-nucleotide ribosomal RNA is filed under the name Liriomyza sp. 9 YXL-2023a. RNAcentral's name for it is "partial large subunit ribosomal RNA". The record is from RNAcentral. Lineage: Eukaryota; Metazoa; Arthropoda; Insecta; Diptera; Agromyzidae.
AAAAGAACUCUGAAUAGAGAGUUAAAUAGUACGUGAAACUGCUUAGAGGUUAAACCCGAUGAACCUGAAUAUCCAAUAUAGAGAAUUCAUCAUUAAUAUAUUAAUUUUAAUUAAUAUAAUGGUGUGCAUUUUCUCUAUAUAAUGGACAUUGUAAUCUAUUAAUAUAAAAUAUAUUUAUCAUAAGAUCAUAAGCAUAUGUUUAUUUUAAUUAAAUUGUUUCGGCUUUUUAUUAUAAAAUAAUUGCUAAUGAUUUGAUAAAGUAUUGAUAGAUUUAAUCAUAUGUAUAAUGCAUAAAUUCAUAUGAAUUUUAUAAUAUAGCAAUAUAUUAUAAGCAUUAAUACGAUUUACAAUGCGAAAGAUUCAGGAUACCUUCGGGAC